AUUGAACGCUGGCGGCAGGCCUAACACAUGCAAGUCGAGCGGAUGAAGGGAGCUUGCUCCUGGAUUCAGCGGCGGACGGGUGAGUAAUGCCUAGGAAUCUGCCUGGUAGUGGGGGAUAACGUCCGGAAACGGGCGCUAAUACCGCAUACGUCCUGAGGGAGAAAGUGGGGGAUCUUCGGACCUCACGCUAUCAGAUGAGCCUAGGUCGGAUUAGCUAGUUGGUGGGGUAAAGGCCUACCAAGGCGACGAUCCGUAACUGGUCUGAGAGGAUGAUCAGUCAACUUGAAACUGGGACACGUCCCAAAUCCCAAGGGGAGGAAGCAGUGGGGAAUUUUGGACAAUGGGGGAAAGCCUGAUCCAGCCAGGCCGGGGGUGUGAAGAAGUUUUUCGGAUUGUAAAGACCUUAAGUUGGGAGGAAGGGCAGUAAGUUAAUACCUUGCUGUUUUGACGUUACCAACAGAAUAAGCACCGGCUAACUUCGUG
Molecule: ribosomal RNA, 483 nt
Filed under: uncultured bacterium
Lineage: Bacteria
Description: partial 16S ribosomal RNA
Rfam family: Bacterial small subunit ribosomal RNA
Source: RNAcentral